This 492-nucleotide ribosomal RNA is filed under the name uncultured bacterium. RNAcentral's name for it is "partial 16S ribosomal RNA". It matches the Rfam family "Bacterial small subunit ribosomal RNA", at positions 29 to 507 of the family's 1533-position model. The record is from RNAcentral.
AGUGAACGCUGGCGGUAGGCCUAACACAUGCAAGUCGAACGGCAGCACAGUAAGAGCUUGCUCUUACGGGUGGCGAGUGGCGGACGGGUGAGGCAUACAUCGGAAUCUACUUUUUCGUGGGGGAUAACGUAGGGAAACUUACGCUAAUACCGCAUACGACCUACGGGUGAAAGCAGGGGAUCUUCGGACCUUGCGCGAUUGAAUGAGCCGAUGUCGGAUUAGCUAGUUGGCGGGGUAAAGGCCCACCAAGGCGACGAUCCGUAGCUGGUCUGAGAGGAUGAUCAGCCACACUGGAACUGAGACACGGUCCAGACUCCUACGGGAGGCAGCAGUGGGGAAUAUUGGACAAUGGGCGCAAGCCUGACCCAGCCAUACCGCGUGGGUGAAGAAGGCCUUCGGGUUGUAAAGCCCUUUUGUUGGGAAAGAAAAGCAGCAGGUUAAUACCCCGCUGUUCUGACGGUACCCAAAGAAUAAGCACCGGCUAACUUCGUG